CUAUCCCCUCAACAAAUGCUUAGAGCGCCAGAUCAACUGACCUUACUUCCUCAGUGGAAAUCGAGUCACUAUGAUGUGGUGGUUGGCGUGCUGUCUGCUCGCAAUAACCAUGAACUUCGCAACGUUAUAAGAAGCACGUGGCUGAAGCACUCACUACAGCAUCCAGCGCUGAGCCAGCGUGUGCUUGUGAAGUUCGUAAUAGGUGCUCGUGGCUGCCAAGUGCCUGUGGAAGACAGGGAGGAUCCUUACUCCUGCAGACUCCUGAACAUCACCAACCCAGUUUUGAAUCAGGAAAUUGAAGCAUUCAGUCUUUCCGAAGACACUUCAUCAGAGCUCUCCGAGGACCGAGUCGUCAGCGUGAGCUUCCGCGUUCUCUAUCCAAUCGUCAUUACCAGUCUCGGGGUGUUUUAUGACGCCAGCGAUGGGGGCUUCCAGAGGAACAUCACUGUCAAGCUUUACCAGGCAGAUCAGGAGGAGGCCCUCUUCGUCGCUCGCUUCAGCCCUCCGAGCUGUGGGGUGCAGGUGAACAAGCUGUGGUACAAGCCCGUGGAGCAGUUCAUCUUACCAGAGAGCUUUGAAGGUACGAUCGUGUGGGAGAGCCAAGACCUCCAAGGCCUGGUGUCCAGGAACCUCCACAGGGUGGCAGUAAAUGACGGAGGAGGGGUUCUCAGAGUCCUUACGGCUGGGGAGGGGGCGUUGCCCCAUGAAUUCACGGAAGGUGCGGAGGGAGUCGCAGGCGGUUUUAUUUUCACUAUUCAGGGUGACAAUACUGAGGCCCAGAAACGUGCCAUGUGUCCCGUACCUCGCAGACCAUGGCGGGGGUGGAAAUCAAAUACAGAAGGUGACGCUCUCUUAAAAAACCUUCAUUCUCGCCCCCGAAGACUCCUUGACCACAUAAGUAAUCUUCAGGAAGAGGACGCCUUGCUGAAGGAGGAAAGCCGCCUCCAUGGUGACAUUGUCUUCGUGGACGUCAUCGACACUUACCGGAACGUCCCUGCGAAGUUACUGAACUUCUAUCGAUGGACCGUGGAAACAACCGAUUUCGAUUUGUUGCUGAAGACAGAUGAUGACUGUUACAUAGACUUAGAAGCCGUUUUUAACAGAAUUGCCCUCAAGAAUCUGGACGGGCCUAACUUUUGGUGGGGAAAUUUCAGGCUGAACUGGGCGGUUGACCGAACUGGGAAGUGGCAGGAGCUGGAGUACCCCAGCCCCGUGUACCCCGCCUUUGCGUGCGGGUCGGGGUAUGUGAUCUCCAAGGACAUUGUCCACUGGCUGGCCAGCAACUCGGGGCGCUUGAAGACCUACCAGGGUGAAGAUGUGAGCAUGGGCAUCUGGAUGGCGGCCAUUGGACCUAAACGGUACCAGGAAACUCCCCAGCUCACGGGGCUCCCGGGGCAGCACCGUGAGCACUCCCUCCAACCAGCUGCUCUUGCACCGCGGCUUGGCCGCCUUCAGCAGCGAACGACGGCCUGUGGCUGUGCGAGAAGACGUGCGAGCCGGGGAUGCUGUCGUCCCCGCAGUACUCCCCGCGGGAGCUGGCCGCGCUGUGGGAGCUGAAGGAGUCGGGCGGGGACCCCUGCCAGUGCGCGGCCAGAAUAAAACUGGCCUGUUUGUGUGUGUAUGUUGAGUGACGACACUUAGAGAUACACGUCAUGGCAGUUAACCUCACUUGCUCUGCUGUGUGAACACGUGACAGGCAGCCCUGCCCUUUCAGAAGCUGUUGGGGACCAGCUCUCAUCCUGGGACGAGGAUUGGCUCUCCCAGAACUGACACAGCCAUCCUCCCACAGCACAUGCCCUCAGAAUGACGGUAAGAACAUCUGCAGAACACAGGACUCGGGCUCUGAAGGUGAAGCGCAGCUGUUACAUGGAUGUCCUCUGGGAACGCUAACCUGCCAGUUCGACCCGGAGGUGACAGGCUCAGGCACACCCGCAGGCGACUGACACGGGGCAGGCGGGGAGGGGCGCCCACGGUCACGGUCACCGUCAGCCAGGGCCACGACCCCUCACCACCGGCCACAGUCCCUGCCCGGGGGUUCAGGGCCUUCCCAGAGUGGCCCCGGAAAGGAAAGCCUGACAGAUCUAAUGAGAACCUUCCCCAGCAGCGUCUGGAGGGGAGGACAGGUGCAGAGACGUCCACAGCCAGCCACCCACACAGGAAGCUCUGGUCCCUCUCACCUGCCCAGCCUCAGGGCUGCCUUUCCUGACAGUCAAGUUUGAAACAAAGUAAGGAAAGGGGAACCGCUAAUUUUAAUUUGUCAUUGUGCAACAGCAGCAAAUUCCACAUCAGAGGAAUAGCAACUGGAUUACUAGUAAGUAAAACGGAGUAAAGCUGGUAACUGGUACUGAACGAUGUUGUCAAUCAUGGGCACAACCCAAGCCUUCCACAGGCAGGACUGUGAUGAGCUUGUGUUACAUGAUAAAAUGAAUUUAAAAAUCCGUGUGCGUUCACGGCACGGACAGGCAAACAGAAAGGUGUUUCACCUGUCAUUUACGGUGUGAUAGGUAUCUUAUUUCUUCAAAUCCUUGCUAUGCUAAAUUUCAGCUGUUUAUAUUUUUGUAUUUAACUGUGAAUCAAGUUUAAUUUUGAGAUUCACGGUGUACUAAAGAUUCAGACUGUAAUUUUUCUUUUCAGUGCAAAUUUAGGGUAAGUUAUGUUGAUCUAAUUUGUUGACAUAAAAGUACUUAUUUUCCAAAUAAAAUGAAUUCAGUUCGAGUAGCAUCAAGAUUUAAAGUUCUGAAGUUUUUUCCAGGAAAACCAGCUCAGUGCUUCCAUGAGGAGUCAGUGCCCAGGAGCUGUCUGUGCAGGGCCCCUGGCUGGUGAGGAGCAGGCGUCAUGCCGCUGAGCCUAAACGCCUGCCCCCUCACAACGCAGCGCCCUGUUUCACGAAGGGAGAGCCAGACAGACCGCGAGCCCAGGACGCCCAUCUCCCUGGCUGAGAAACCCCCAGAGCAACAAUGGGGGAACUAGACAGCCGGGGGCGCAGAGAGGCCUGGAACCCAGGGCUGGGCGCACGCAGCGGGCCACGCAAUCCUAACAGGGCUGCUUCCCAGACAAGCUGAAAACUUACAGGCAACCUGAGCUUUCAGGGGGAGUGGCGUUCGCACGAUCGACUGCAUUUUAGGACGUCAGGGACUAGCGAAAAGCCAUAAGCUGCCUAAGUCCACAUUCACACGCGACGCAGUUUCCCUCCCGGCAACGCGCGCACGGUUCCGAAGCACACAGGGGUGGCAGACUCCUCCUUACCUGGCAGGGGCUUCUCUACGACUUCCUGAUCAAGUUCAUUAGGACAUUUUAUCUUCAGGGCUUGAAAGAAAAAAGGAAGAGAGUGAGCCCUGUACUGUAAGGAUUAAGUUACACGCAGGGACGCUGCUCUGGGGCAGCCGGGUUCGGCGCCCAGGAAGGGCAGGAGGCCUGGCGCUGAACGUGCCUUCUCUUAGGGCUUCGCUGAGGCACCAGCACCAGCACCAGCGUGGCUGGACCGACGUUCUGCCGCCUCCCCUUCUCCCUUUACUACUGCCUUCCGGACAAUUCAUCCAGGUUUUCAAGCGCAAGAACACUCACACAUUUCCAAAUCACAGCUCAGUUCCCUACUUGGCUAGUUCCCGCGUUUAUCACACUAGCCAGUGAGCUGCAAGCAUGGAAUCUUGCUAAAAUGUUGAACCUAAGAACUUAACGUAUCUGAGAAUCCAUCAUUUGUGUAAAUACUGAAGUACUCUUUUCAGGGCGUCCUGAAGAGAAACAAGCCACCCCUGGGUCAUCCCUGUGGCUCAGCCCCUGGGGACUCGGUGCUAAUGGGCUGUGAAUGUGAGGUUCUUACUUAGUAGCUGGUUU
This is a non-coding RNA of Vicugna pacos (alpaca), 3834 nucleotides long. The record is from RefSeq and is a predicted model, not a curated record. NCBI's taxonomy places the organism in Eukaryota, Metazoa, Chordata, Mammalia, Artiodactyla, Camelidae.